AAACAACGUGGUAUAAGGAAAAUAUACGUGCGGGCGAUGGUGAUCAAUCGUUAUUAGUUGGAGGAAAGCAAGUACUGUGCUUGGUUCUUCAAUUAAGAAACACAAUAGAAUUUUUCCCGCUUUGUGUUAGGUUAAUCACGGGAAGUAGCCUGAGAACAGUGAAGAUAGUUCGUCCAGCCAAGAAAUGGAAGAGAGUUGCCAGGUUUGCAAUCGGAAAAUUUCGAGUCUUAAUGAUGGUACCAGUUCCAUCUGAACUCGGCGUUUCUGAAAUGAAGCCUUCCGAAGCUCUGAACUGUAGCAACUGUAUUUUACUGGCUAAAUUUUGUGAAUAUAAAGAUGGACAUUACUUCUUCACAUCUUAAUACUAUAACAGAGGUGGAAAAGUGUUCUACAAUGGCAGCUGAAAAGUUAAAACGUUGGACACCUAUUUUUGGCUCGCUUUUGGCUGGUAUAGGAGAAGAUGAAUGCGAAAAAAUUGAAAGUGCCUUGCUUAGUGGAGCGGAGCUUACAGAAGUGUUAAUGAAUCAUGUUGUGGAUGCCCAUGAAAAUUAAUCAAAGAAGAAUUAACGCAGAAGCUCCAAAAGAUGGAUAACUUGCAAAGGUCGAUCAAAGAUGUUCUGUGGAUAGAUCCGAUCAACAGCGCUAAGACAUCUGCUGAGACCAAAGCCCCUAUACCUGUCGCUAAAACUAAAUGUAACAGCCUGUCUUCAAAACAACCUUCCUUUAAGGCAUUACGUGAUUAUCUGUUGGAUAAACACAGUUUCUCAACGAUCUUAUUUCUUUUCGCAGUAUCUCAUUUUCUUUUCUACUUGUUUCUGUAUCCAGAGCUUCAUGUAACUGCUUUUCGAGUGACAUUUCAAAAAAUUGUGGUACACUUAAUGACUUGGAUCGUAAUAAUGAUAUGUGUCAUAAUAGAGCUCUGUAUGAAUUAAGACUUUAAUUCUAAAAAUUUGUUUGCGUUUAAGUUUCUCCCUCUUUAAAAUAUCUUUCUAAGAUGAUAUUUUUAAUAACAUCAAUAAAGUACUUUAUUUGGUAAA
Stegodyphus dumicola is the source of this 1037-nucleotide long non-coding RNA. The record is from RefSeq and is a predicted model, not a curated record. NCBI's taxonomy places the organism in Eukaryota, Metazoa, Arthropoda, Arachnida, Araneae, Eresidae.